This 341-nucleotide long non-coding RNA is filed under the name Homo sapiens (human). RNAcentral's name for it is "non-protein coding lnc-RENBP-2:1". The record is from RNAcentral. Lineage: Eukaryota; Metazoa; Chordata; Mammalia; Primates; Hominidae.
UUGCCGUGAGGGGCCAGCCACCGCUGGGUGCAGUCCUCCAGCCUUUCCAACGCCCACAUCGACUACACCACCAAGCCCGCCAUCAUCUUCCGCAUCGCCGCCCGCAAUGAGAAGGGCUAUGGCCCGGCCACACAAGUGAGGUGGCUGCAGGGUGAGUGUCCUUCGUGGAGCUCUUCAGGCACAGGGAAGGCCCAGGAAGCCGGGUGCAGCAGGAGGAACUGUCACCAUCUGAGAUUUUUUCCCAUGUGCGGCGUCUCCCUGCUUCCUUUGGCGCGCACACAGCCCCCCACGGGGGUGGCCAUCAAGUAGAGCAGGGGACCCAGCUCCGGGCCUGGGGGUGC